This 1204-nucleotide ribosomal RNA is filed under the name Strombidinopsis acuminata. RNAcentral describes it as "partial Bacterial large subunit ribosomal RNA". It matches the Rfam family "Bacterial large subunit ribosomal RNA", at positions 1 to 1233 of the family's 2925-position model. Lineage: Eukaryota; Ciliophora; Spirotrichea; Choreotrichida; Strombidinopsidae. The record is from RNAcentral.
GCUAAAUAAGAGCGUAUGGGGAAUGCCUAGGCUCUCAGAGGCGAUGAAGGACGUGAUAAGCUGCGAAAAGCUACGGGGAUUGGCACAUACAAAUUGAUCCGUAGAUAUCCGAAUGGGGCAACCCAGCAUGUUGAAGACAUGUUAUCCGCAAGGAGGCGAACCCGGAGAACUGAAACAUCUAAGUACCCGGAGGAGAAGAAAACAAAAGUGAUUCCGAUAGUAGCGGCGAGCGAAAUUGGAUUAGCCCAAACCAGUAUUGUUACGGCAAUGCUGGGGUUGUAGGACCACAAUAUUCGAUGCAUAAUGAAUUAGAACAGUUUGGAAAGACUGACCGAAGAGGGUGAUAGUCCCGUAUAAGUAAAGAUUGUUAAGAUAGUGGUAUCCUGAGUAGUGCGGGGCACGUGAAACCCUGUGUGAAUCAGUCGGGACCAUCCGAUAAGGCUAAAUACUCCUGAGAGACCGAUAGUGAACUAGUACCGUGAGGGAAAGGUGAAAAGAACCCUGAACAAGGGAGUGAAAAAGAUCCUGAAACCGUGUGUUUACAAGCGGUCGAAGCCUUAGGGCGACGGCGUGCCUUUUGCAUAAUGAUCCUACGAGUUACUCCUCAUUGGCAAGGUUAAGUCUUUAAGGGACGAAUCCGAAGCGAAAGCGAGUCUGAAUAGGGCGACAUAGUCAGUGGGGGUAGACGCGAAACCUUGUGAUCUACCCAUGGCCAGGUUGAAGUUUUGGUAACACAAAAUGGAGGACCGAACUCAUAUACGUUGAAAAGUGUUGAGAUGAGCUGUGGGUAGGGGUGAAAGGCCAAUCAAACUGGGAAAUAGCUCGUACUCCCCGAAAUGCAUUUAGGUGCAGCGUUCAGGUAGAGUAUUAUAGAGGUAGAGCUACUGAUAGGGCUAGGGGGCUUCACCGCCUACCAAACCCUGACAAACUCCGAAUGCUAUAAAAUGUUAAUCAGCAGUGAGGGCAUGGGUGCUAAGGUCCAUGUCCGAGAGGGAAAGAACCCAGACCAUCUGCUAAGGUCCCCAAAUGUAUGCUAAGUUGAUCAAACGUGGUCUGAUUGCUUUGACAGCUAGGAUGUUGGCUUGGAAGCAGCCAUUCAUUUAAAGAGUGCGUAACAGCUCACUGGUCGAGCGACAGGGCAUCGAUGAUGAUCGGGCAUUAAGUAUACCACCGAAGCUAAGGCAGUAUUUUAUACUGGGUAGGG